AGUCUCUGUAACUAACUAAACACUAGCUGUUGGUAAAGAUGUUAUCUGAAAAUCUGAGACUGCUUUGGGGAAGUUCGCCAGGUGCUAUUCAGACAAAUACAUUACUUAGGUUUCUAGAUCUUGCAUUUAUGAACUGAUGAUAAGAUUAUUACUGUCACCGAUGGAAGAUCUUGGUCCACAGAAGUCCCAACGAUAUUGGAAUGUUUUCUACAUUCCAAUAAAGAAAUAAAGAUGCUCUGUAUUCCGAAGCACUGUUGUCAUUUGACAUCUCAACAAAAGAACUGGAUCCCAACAGACCAGUGAGAAAGCACAGAGGAGGUUGUUAGCAAAUGGCUCCGAAAGUUUCACAACAGCACUAAGGGAGCUAAGGGUGGAGAGCCAGGAAGCAGAAAGCGUAAACAUCAGGCCUCAAAUGUUAGUUAUGUGUGCACAAAUCGGACGGGCCUGCUCUACAGAUCUAUCAAGCUAGGAAACCAGCAAAGCUUCAGUAUUUGAGCAAACUCAGACCUGGCUUCCCUCCCUCCGGCCCUGGUUCUGGACAAAGGGGACGCACGCUGGACUCUAGCUGUGGAACGAACUGGUAUCACUAACUCCUACAAGAAGUGCUCUGCCUCCUGCCAUACCGCAGUCUCACAGGCAGGUCCUCUCCAAGAGAGCCACAACUGGCCCGGGUGUGUCUCCACGAGAAAGAAGGAACCUUUACAUCGUGGACACCUCUGGACCCCAAAACACAGGCUACUCCUUCGAGCCGGAAUCGAACCAGCGACCUAAGGAUGGCUGCCCAGGAAAUCUACAGUCCUCCGCUCUACCAGCUGAGCUAUCGAAGGAAAGCACGAGCUGUGUUCUCCUGACUGCCGUAUUCAGAGGCCAUAGACACCGCCGACUUUAGCCGAACAAGUGCCGGGCUGCUGGAGAAACCUGCUAGAGCCGGAUUCCGCGCGCCCCCGGGAUGGGCAUGCGCGUGCGCGUGCGUGAGAGCGCGCUGGCGGAGGACCGCACCCGAGAACCCUGAACGCGGUCCCGGGCACGCGGGAUGAUCCUCGUCCCGGGCGGGGCAGUGCGCUGGCUGCAGGAGAAGCGGGGUUUCAGAAUUCCCCGCGGCUCCACGCCUCUCCGUGAGCAGUGUCCGGCCUGCCCCGCGUGCGGAGCGGGUGCUCGGGAGCGGAGUCUGUCCCCUGCCCGCCCUGCGUCCUCUUCGCCGCGGGGAGCGGGUGCGCGCAGCCAGGGAGCGCGAAGGGGGCUCGGUUCAGCCGGGCAGCAGAGCCGCCCUGCCGCGUUAGGACAGGAACAAAAGGAGCCAGUGGCCGAUUACCCACGAGCCUUGAGAAACUAGGAAUAGCCACUGGCUUCAGGUUAAAUGAAGUGCGACGAGGAGCAAGAAGUUUUCUUUGAUAUCAAAAUUGAUUGCUAUAGGCCCCAGCGAGAUUUGAACUCGCGACCCCUGGUUUACAAGACCAGUGCUCUAACCCCUGAGCUAUAGGGCCCCACAGACUUCUAGCCUCUUUCUUUCCUAGAAAGGGAAAUAUUCUCUGACUUUUCAGUAGUCUGGAAAGCAAGCAAAAUCUAGAUCGUAUUUUAUCCCAUAUCCACACACAGUGUUGAAAUGCAGCCUACUGACUCUUCCUGGUCUCACUGAGAAUAGCUUAGUGGUGGACGCAGACAAGGACCAAUACUACCCUAAAACUGGAGAAAUGUGACCAUCCCACACCGAGUAAUACGUUAAAGAUUCCCCCUCCCUCUUCAUUUUGUUCCUUCCUUCAUUCAGCAAACACCGAAUUCCAAUUCUGUGUCAAAUUCUACAGAAAGAACUAGGGAUUCAGAUCGUCAAUCCGAGUCACUGUCACAGUUUGCAGAACGGGGCUGCAAUUUUCAAGAAAGUGCAAUGAAAAGUAGGUAUACCAAGUGUGACUUUCAAGUGACCUUUGGGGGGGCCUUAGGAGGCGGGAGUUAAGUUUCAAGAUGAGAGGAGGUUGAGAUUUGGACCAGUUGGGGACAAGGAGAUCCUUAGUAGAAGAAAAAUGAGCAAAAUCCAAGGAAGACCAUUAAGAGUGGUUAGAUCUCCGCCCUUUUCCAGGUGACAAGAGAUGAGAAGACACGUUAGAGGGAGACAGGAAUGAUGUGUAGACCCCUUCAGAAAACAGAAAUGGAAAUCCACCAAGUAAACUGGAAGGAGGAGAAACCAGAGUCGGGAACACCAGAGAUGCUCGGACAUAAAGCUGCAAACUGUUAACUCUUCUGGGGCUACAGGGAAAGGAUGGGAGAUAAGGGAAGAAGUCACUGAGAUUAAAUAUGAAAUCAGUCAAGAGAGAAAAAAAAAAACAAAACAAAAGACGAUGAUACCUGCAAGGGGGCGGGGGGGGGCAAGGAAGUUUGCGUCUAUAGGAUGUCUGGAAAAGACAGGGGUGCAGGAACAGUAGGGUGCAGGUGGACGAAACAGGUGAGCAGGGUGCACGUCCCGGGAAUUAUAUAGUAGCCAGAACAUGUCCCUGUUUAGAGUCCAGAGGACUAAGGUUAAGGUUAGAUCAAAUUACAAAUUACCUAAGUCUAGGAG
Long non-coding RNA from Nannospalax galili (Upper Galilee mountains blind mole rat), 2551 nucleotides. RefSeq lists it as uncharacterized. The transcript has 2 exons. NCBI's taxonomy places the organism in Eukaryota, Metazoa, Chordata, Mammalia, Rodentia, Spalacidae. The record is from RefSeq and is a predicted model, not a curated record.